RNAcentral lists this transfer RNA (86 nucleotides) under Felis catus (domestic cat). It matches the Rfam family "tRNA". Rfam says of the family: Transfer RNA (tRNA) molecules are approximately 80 nucleotides in length. The record is from Rfam by way of RNAcentral. Lineage: Eukaryota; Metazoa; Chordata; Mammalia; Carnivora; Felidae.
GCCUGGGUGGCUCAGUCGGUUGAGCGCCUGAAUUUGGCUCAGGUCAUGAUCUCACAGCUCUGUGGGUUCGAGCCCCACAUCAGGCU